RNAcentral lists this ribosomal RNA (444 nucleotides) under uncultured bacterium. Its description in RNAcentral is "bacterial SSU rRNA". It matches the Rfam family "Bacterial small subunit ribosomal RNA", at positions 360 to 793 of the family's 1533-position model. The record is from RNAcentral.
AAUAUUGCACAAUGGGCGCAAGCCUGAUGCAGCCAUGCCGCGUGUAUGAAGAAGGCCUUCGGGUUGUAAAGUACUUUCAGCAGUGAGGAAGGUGGGUAUGUUAAUAGCAUAUUCAUUUGACGUUAGCUGCAGAAGAAGCACCGGCUAACUCCGUGCCAGCAGCCGCGGUAAUACGGAGGGUGCGAGCGUUAAUCGGAAUUACUGGGCGUAAAAGCGCAUGCAGGUGGUUUGUUAAGUCAGAUGUGAAAGCCCGGGGCUCAACCUCGGAAUUGCAUUUGAAAACUGGCAAACUAGAGUACUGUAGAGGGGGUAGGAAUUUCAGGUGUAGCGGUGAAAUGCGUAGAGAUCUGAAGGAAUACCGGUGGCGAAGGCGGCCCCCUCGGACAGAUACUGACACUCAGAUGCGAAAGCGUGGGGAGCAAACAGGAUUAGAUACCCUGGUAG